Molecule: non-coding RNA, 3179 nt
Organism: Thamnophis sirtalis
Lineage: Eukaryota; Metazoa; Chordata; Lepidosauria; Squamata; Natricidae
Source: RefSeq, a predicted model, not a curated record
GUACAAGAGCAUCGCGGCAUGAACUGAUGGUGGGCGGCAGCUGCCAAGCUGGGACCGGGUUUGGCUGAGAUCCAUGCUCUUUUGAUUCCCCACUAAAUGAUUCCUUGAUCAAAAGCUGACCUUCGCUUCCUGGCAACCCCUUCUCCUUAGAAGUCCUCCUCCUUAGGGAAUUCUGACCAUUUAAAAAAACAGGGGGAAACAGGGGGAUUUUAAAAACCACAGCAAGGAGUGAAGAUGGAAAAGGAGAGCAAGGCAUCUACCCAGUAUGGAUCCCUGGAAUCAACCAAGUGGACUGCAGCAGAUUCAGGCAAAGGGGAAGAAAUAGUUUCUAUGGCUGACUCUACAGCUACCAUUGAUGAUAUUGAAGGAGAACUUUUCAAAAUUGAGAGAAUCAGGGAUGUUCUUGUGCGGAGAGAAUCAGAGCUCCGAUACAUGAUGGAUGAUAUCCAGCUUUGUAAGGAAAUCAGCAGGUUGAAAAAGGAGUUACAGAAGUUGAUUUCAGUGCCAGAAAAUAAAAAAUCAAAAGAAGACAAACAGAAGGAGGAGGAGUUAGUGCAACAAAUUCAUAAACUUGUAGAGACUCGGGAUUUCCUUGUGGAUGAUGUAGAGUUUGAAAGGCUCAGAGAACGAGAAGAAGAUAAGGAAAUGGCUGAAUUUUUAAAGAACAAGCUUUCCAAAACCUGCCUUCUGAAAACAACUCCUGUAAAAGAAAAGAAGGUGACAUCAAGAGGACAACAAACCUCUCCACCAUAUGUAACAAAGACAAGCCUCAUCUUCUUGAAAGAGUGCUGUGGCUUCACCUGCUCAAUCAUGUAGGCUAGAGCUAAGGGGCAUGUGCUCAACACCAAGCACAAGAUCCAGUCAUGGGUAAGCCCUGCCCACUUCCUGGUUAACCGAAUCCAUUCAAAUCAUAGUAGAUUCACAAGCCUAUUGAGCAGAGAUGAGUGAUUCCACUGUGGACAACAUGUUGACGGAAAGCACACAGGACCCUAAAGGUCUAUAUAGGCCAGAGUUUGGUGGAGAUCAGAAGCAGACAACACAAGAUGCUCAUGAAAGAGAGCCAAACAAGGGACACAGACCCAGAUAUUUGAUACCAUGUUUUCCUUCUUAUAACUAUUGUAACAGGGAUAGCAUCCCAACCCACGCCAUCCCAAGUUAGGAUGUAGUUUUCGUGUUGGUUGCAGAUUUAUAAGCUCUAGUGACAUAGGUACAGAAAUGUACUGACACAGAUCCACACACACACUCAUCCACAUACGAAGUAGAAGGACUGAGCACUUCCUUCCAUUUCCUGAUACUCUAAAAUAGGAAGUACCAGCAGAAUGAUUCUCAAUAUAGUGGAUUGCUGCUGUUCAUCAUGUUGCAUCCACCCUGCCCUGCUUCUAUGAAGUUUCCUAGCAACUGUGGGACCCAGAGAUGUCUGCAUCAUCUCCACAAAGGUCACCCUCAUGUGCAGAAUGACAGAUGUGCAUCAGCAUUACUCUUAGAUUACUACACGCAGUGAUCUUAUCGACACAAAUUGAUUCUUAUGGCAAAGUCAAACAUGUAAUCAAGAACUGCUUCCAAACUCAUGGUUUUCCUAUAUACAUAAAAACUGCUGUAAGAUACCAAGGUGAAUGGCAUUGUGUAUGUUUUCAGUGCAACAUUCAGGAUCAAAUAUUUUGCUAUGUGGCAAAAAAAAAAUUGCUUCAUGUUUAUAUGCAAAGGGGUGCACAGAUAAGAAAAGGAUAGGUACUGAUUGUAAAGAAAAUAAUCCUAUGAAACUGUAAGGAAAAGGGUAUGUAUUGAGUAACCCAAGAAUUUGACUGCCUAUCCUUACAUAUUCUUAACAGCUCAUCCACUGCCUUCUUUAAAACCUCUAGGGAACAUUUCUUCAACAUCACCUGAACUAUUCCUCAAUGUUUUAACCAAAGAAGUUAUAUUUAAUUUUAAAUCAUUUUUCUACAACCCACAUUCUCAGCUAUUUCUAUGCGCUAGUUAAACCGCAGUUCAUCCUCUAUGAUAUGAUUUCACAUAGUUGAAAACUUUUCUUGUGCUCCUUACUCCAGCUCUUUUUCCUGAGGUGACUCAGAACGUUCCCAAGUGGCUACUGUAGGUUAUGAUGUCUUUGUAUUCUUCAUAGCUGAGCUACUGUAAAAUGUCAAGAACUGAGUGAAAGGAAACCUGGAACUGGGAGGACAGAAACAUCUUCUCCAUUUCAUUUUCCCUCAGGUCUUCUGCAACCACCCCAGGGUCAAUCUCCUUGGCAAGAAGCCUCAGACAGAAAGGACAAAAAGCAUUAGGUUAUGGAAGAGAGAGAAACUGCUGCUGCUGAUUUAUCCAUGGCCUAGAAAGUUCCAUACAUUCUCCAUAGAAGUCUUAUCUGUAUAUUGGGCAAACUAAAUCUCUAGCAUUGAAGGAAUCUUGCACCAUAUGCAAUGCAUUUUAGAAAGUAUGUUGAAGGAAAACUCUAAAAUUUUAUUGUGAGAUCACACAUUUACAAGGGUCCUUUAUCCCUCUCUACUGAUGUCUAUGGUAUGUAAUUUAAUUCUAUGUAUCUGAGACUGCCUCCAAGAUUUUGGAUCCAUACUUAUUAUUGAGAUCAAAUUGGACUCAUCCAAAUCUGGUUUCAGGAUUUCAUUUCAUAAAAUUCAACCAAUUUAAAUGUGCCAUCUUCAGCAUCUAUAUAAAUAUUGUCAAUUUUCUCCAAAUUGAUGCAUGGAAUGACAUGAGGGAAGGUAUUCAUUGGCAGGAAACCCAGGAAUCCCUUAAGUAAUGAAUUUCCUAGUAUCAAUUAAUUUGAAAAUAUGGAGUAUACCAGAGAAAAUUAUGAAAAAUUUCCGAACCAGAACUAACAGUAGAAUACCUACCCCCAUAACCCCCGAGAAUCAAGCCAAUAUUUAGUACUGUCAAAUUCCUUUAUAAUGAUAUUUUUCUUUAUGUAAUUUUAGAAGUAGCUUGCAGGCCAUUAGCACCCCAAGAUGAUUCACAUCCAGGUCUUCAUCCUAUCUCAUCUUCAUCCUGAUCUCCAUCCUAUUCCAUUUCUUCUAGGACUUAUUCAUAUAUGAGUUGAAUUCUUCACAUCACUAUGAUGGACACAUAAUUAAUUGAGCUUAUUGAAACCUAUGCGCUUCUCUUUCCUCAUCUGUAAAAUGUGUACAACUUAGUCCUUCUAUGAAAUCUGAUGAAACAAUAAAAUCUCC